GUUCUAAUACAUGUUCUUAAAAAAAAUAAUUCUAAUCCUUUUACAAUCUAUAAAAAUUAGAGCCUCAAAAUACAAAUGUAUUACACAAUCUGCAACGAAAUAAUUUAAAAUUUAUGUCAAACUAUCUACCGUCCUCAAUUCAUAUUCUUCUUGUAACCCAUCAUGAAUCAAUUCUGAUUAAUGAAAACUGAAUCACAAUAAAUUAUAAUGAGUACGAAACUCAAUAAAUAAACCAGUUUUUCAUAUACGAAAGUACAUACAUACAUACAUAAAUAUAAUGCAAAUGGAUGAUGUGCCAUGGUAUUCGAAAACAUUGUAAAAUAAAUUAUCAAAAUCUCAUUCUGUAAUUUUCAAACUUUCGCAUUCUCUGUCAAAUCACUUAUUUCAACUUGAGCUACCUUCAUUCAAUUACUGCUUAGUAGGACACUCCUUUAACUUUCAUAACUUUCAUACACUUUCGGCUUCACGUCAACACGUCCCUCGCCCACUUAUCUCAUAAACACAAUAUAACAUCCAAAAUAUCCUCCACUAAGCCAAUAUCGAAUUCAAGCAUCCAAGCCAAAACUGUAAAACAAUCUUUCUUUCUUUAAAUUUUGUUUGCUAAAAUCCACUUUUUUUAUUUUAUAGAAAACAUAAUACAUUUUCGUACUCAUGCCAAUGAAAUUUCACACGUAUGUAUGCCCAUGUCCAUAAACACACAUAACAUAUAAUAACACAUCAUAUCAACACAUCACAUAAACACAUUGACAGAACAUAUAAAUCCAUAUCCGUAUAUAUCAAAAUAGGUUUUUCAAAUAUGUCAAAUAUAUAAUAUUAUUUAUUUUGAUUCAUUUAAAAAUUUAAUUUACUUACCUCUUGAUAUCCUCAAUAAAUAAAUACGUAUCGAUAUCAUUGGCCUAAAAAUAAAUAAAAAUACUCUCACAAGAUAAAAUUAAAUUAUAAUAAUAAACUUUAAUAUUCUCAAACUUCUCAAUAUAAUCACAUUCCAUACUUAACCUCAAAUAAUGUCAAUUUGAAUAUUAAAUUACUAAAAUACCCUUGAAUUAAAAAGUAUCAAAAUACCCCUAAAAUCAUAAUUUACCAAUUUAACCUCAAAACCAUAAAUUAACAACUUAUCCUCAAUUUCAGCAAUUACUAAAAUACCCACAAAGUCUGGAAUUACAAAAUUGCCCUCAGAGUGCGAAAUUACUGAAAUGCCCUUGCCGACCGACGGUGACCGGGAUUCAACCGAUGGCGACGGGAAGCUCAGGUCUGAAAAUUAUGGCCACGCUGAGUCCAACGGUGGCAACGGUGACUUCCCACGCGCAGCGACGGCACCGAAAUCUAGCUCGGAAACCGCGAAUGCUUAAGUGGCCGAUCGGCGGCAAAACGACGUCCCCAACGGCAGUGGAUGGCUGGAAAUGGCAGAGGGCAUGGUGGGGAACAAAACCCAAGUGGUAGCGUCACCGGAAACCGGCAAAAUCGCGGCGAAUUGGUGCGGCGAUCCUGCGGCUUUUCACGGUGGCUUUCCGGACAUAUUCCGGCGAUAAGGAUGGCAUGGAGAUGACCGGCAUCGCAGGAGCUUCCGAUCGGUACCAACCUUAGCUGGUGAGGUGGCCGGAACUGCGAGAUCCGGUCGGGUUACGUUCGCGGGUCGGGUUGACCCGAUUCUCUUUUCCCCCUCUCUCCCCCCGUGAGCUUUUCUUCCCUCUCUCUUUUUGUUUUUUCUCUCUCUCUCUCUCUCUAUUUGUAAGGGUGUGGGGGUAUUACACUCCAUUUGAUCCCCAAGAAAUUCAAAUUAAAAGUUGAUUUUUGUGACACAACUUGUACAGUUCACACACUUCAACAGAAAAAAGAAACGAAAUACUACAGUGAACAAUAAAUUUGUGGGCUACUCCUUCAACAUGGUGGCAUAUGUUCGGCGGAGGCAGCAUUUUUGCUUUUGCACAUCUGCCAUUUUUCACAAUGAAUGCCAUUUGCAUGCCCCAGCUCUGAUGACGGUCUAAAUGGCAGUGGACGAACCAUGCUCCUGUUAAUAAAUACCAAUAAUAUUAUUGUUGACAUAAAUUUUUGCUUAAUGUACAAUGAUUGAUUUGUAUUUUGAACUUUUUUUUAAAUCGAGUUCUGUAAUUUAUUUUUUUCUUAAAGCAAGUGUCUCAAAUCACAUGUUUCCUCGUGAUUAAUUGUUCUGAAAAAAAAAAAAAUUAUCAAAGGGUGCCCGCAUGUCGGCGAUAACUCUCUGACGCUCAAUUUAAUUUUUUUUACUCAAUUUUUAGAUAGAGAAAAUCAAGAGUGAGAUGGACUGAGUUUUUCUAACUCAUUUGGUGCCAUUUUUUCUCUUACCUUCAAAUGGGGGGAGGGGGGGUCUUGGCCUUUAUAUAGGCAAUUUAGAGUCGAUUGGAGAGGUUAUGCACUUUUCUUGUGACAAGUGUCAGUCAAAACCCAUGCAUGGAAACACAUAUUCAUAUGUAUCAAUGCUUGCUCAUGACAAGUAAUCUUUGGACAUUUACAUGUUUUUGGACCAUUAAUCUUUAAUGAAUUUUAGCUUAAAUUCGGCACUUAUAUUGACUCCUUACAAAGAGAAUUGAUUUUGCAACAUUUUGCCCGUAAGCGCAUUCCGCAGAAUAUUUGUUAGGUAGUAGGCUCAUUCCGUAGAAUGCUUAUUGGCAUGUUCGCACAUUCUAUAAGAUGCGUAUAUUUGCCCGUAGGUGCAUUUUCGUAGAAUGUAUAUUUAUCUGUAGCCGCAUUCCGUAGAAUGUAUAUUUGUUCGUAGGUGUAUUAUAUAGAAUGUGUAUUUGUCUGUAGGCCAAUUCCAUAAAAUGUGUAUUUGUCAUAGGUCCAUUCUAUAGAAUGUAUAUUUGUCCAUAGGCGCAUUCAGUAGAAUACUUAGUAGCUCGUGCGCUCUUAUUUGUAAAUAAUGGAUCUAGGUCAUUCUUUAUUGAAUAAUAUCUUUGGCAGUUUGUCGAAAACUCGCACUUUGAGCAUUUUACUUAAAAAUAUUUUCUAAGUUUCUAAGUCAUUCUUUGUAAGGAAUGGACUUAGGUCAUUAUUUAUAACCUAAAUCAUUCUUUAUAAGAAUGGUCCUAGGUCAUGCUUUAUAAAGAAUAGACUAGGUUUUUCUUUGAUAAAUCACGCUUUUGGCGUUUUGUCAUAUCUUACAUUUAGACACUUUAUUUAGAAUUGUAAGUACCUUGGUUGUUCUUAUAGAUAAUAGGCCUAGAUUAUUUUAUGUAAAAUAUUUUUAUUGGGCCUAUAUUUUUCGUGAGUUUUGGGUCUUUCAUAAUUUGGUCUAACAAUUAUGAUUAGUUAAUGACAUUGUUAUUGAAAAUUUCCUCGACUUUAAGAGUUCCCAAAAAAAAAAACAAAAUAUUGCUAGGGUGGUGGGGAUAUUUUCAGCCUAAAAAUUUAUGUAAACACACUCUAUUUUAAAAAAUUAUUUAUAAAAAUUUCACUUUAUUUUUUAGAAAUUAUAAUAAAGAAAAAGCUUAAAUAAUUAAUCAAUUAAAUCUGUUUUUGUACAUAAGUCUCUUGACCAUUUUUUAUCACUAAGGUUGUGUAAUAUAAUUUUAAUUUGACUAUUUUAUCCUUAUAAUAUAAAAUGACUAAAUUAUCUAAAAUAUGUGCUCUUGUACCUUAAGUUAAAACUAUUAACGAGGAUUUAAUUGUUUAAUUGUUCAAAAUUCUACUUUAUUUGAUAUUUUUAAAAAAUAAUAUGAUCUGUAAUAGUUAUUUAUUUGAAGUGGGAUGGAUUACACAAUGUGUGGGGUGGAGAGAUCCAUUGGUGACGAUAUUUUUUAACAUUAUUAUAACUCCAUAAUAUUUGGAAGAAGGGAAGAAUAUUUCUCUACUUAACAAGCUUUCCAUAUUGAUCAAAUAAGUCCAUGAUUUUUAAGUAGGAAUAGGAAUAACAAUAUUAACCAUGCACAAUGAAAAAUAAUGCCGCAUACCCGGAUCGUUUGCUGUGAAUCUAAUGGCAGCCCAACAUUCUUAGGCACCAUAAUUGUAUUCUGAAGAGGAGGUUCAACAAAAUUAAAUCUCUUAGCAUCCUUAGCUCUAUCAAAAUUACCAAAUCCCCCACCCACCACAUAAAAACUGUAACCAUGCAAAUGCAUUGGAUGAUCAGUCCCUGCCAGCAAAUCUGUCCCCUGAAAAACAAUCUCCACCGCCGUAUUAUACUCAAGUACUUUCACCUCAAUCCGUGGCCUUUCUCGGCACGCUUAAAUUCAGCGGCAGAUUAUCCGCCGUGAAAUCGAAGAAUAGAGGAGGCUUUGCAGGGAAAUUAUCACUGUAUAUGCCGCUAACACGUUUAUAUUAAGCUUUUAAAAUGUCAGUGUAUGGGGCAGCAAAGCUUAUGUUACUAAUACUAGAAGCAAGCACGUGUCUUUGUCACAGGGCAAUGAAUUGACAGAAAUUGUGAAAAAUAAUUUCUUGUUUAACUUUUUGGGCACGUUAUAUUUGUGAUGGUCACUGUCUAGGUGUCUGAGGUAGUGAGGUUUUGUAAGAAAUUAACGGCAGCUUUUGUGUCAUCAUAAGAAGGAAGAUUUGGCAAAGGAGUUUUGGAAGAUGGGUAAAGUCCCUCGUAUUGGACAAUGGCAGUGGUGGUGGUGUUGUCGUCCUAGACGUCGGUGGCGCUGGAAUGAGCCUUGGCUGCCAUGUAAUAUUUGUUUGGAAUUUGGUUAGCUUUUAUCAAGACGUCAAUGAUUUGUCCUGGUGAAAUUGUCAGGUAUUCUACUUAAUGGCUUGGUGUAGCUGCCGUCGACUCCCACAAUUGUGAGCUCAUGUUUUGCGACAGCGAAGGAGAAGGGGUCCUCCAGGCCGGCGUUGAUCAUGCGGAGGAGAUUAUAAGUCUUGCCCAAUUCCAUCAGUGACUUGAAUGUGUCUUUAAGAAAGUUGCAAGUAAUGGUGAAAAAUAUAUAUAAUCAAGUAAAACAAAGUUGUAAUUGGGGAGAAAAAAAAAAUCUGAUGUGUGAAGGCUUAACAUUUUCUAAUUACAUUUUAAAACAUACCAACAUAGGUAAUAGAGAAUCGCCUAAUGUUGAAACUUUGUAAUCAAUCAAAGUUUAUGAAUAAAGAGGAAAAACAAUGCAAUUUGAAGCAAAAGAUAAGAGGAAAAAAAUGAUUAAAAAAAUCCUUGUUAUUGCAGUAAAUUAAUUAGUUUCUAAUUUUCUCCUGUUUCAGAAUCCAUCGAACCCUCAAUGCCAUUAAAAUAAUGCUAAUUUCCAACUUUUAUGUGUUGAAAAGUUGACAAUUUUUUAAUCGGGUGGGAGGUUCUUAAAUAAGUUUCGAAAAUGAGGAAAAUUAACUAAUUUACAAAAACAACAAGGGGAGUUUUGAUCAUUUUCUUCACAAAGACAUUAGGAGGGAUUAAAAAUCCAUACCUAAUUUUGAACUAAGAAAAAGAUCAACGGGUAGCUGUUAAUUGAGAUAAGCAUCUGAAACAUUAGGAUUUGUUCCUGAUUUGAUGAAUUGAUCAUAAAUCUCGAUCACGUCUUUCUUUCAUCACUCAGCCGUGCAUUAUUUUUAAAGAUUAUUGAUUGAAAUUAAUGAAAAUAAUACCCAAGAUGAUGGGCAUUUCAUCAUGAGGCUUGGGAAAAUGAUAAUAAGUUCCCUUCUUAGGAUAAACAACAAUGGCUCCAUGAACCGUUGUUCUUAACCAAUCACUAUGAGCAUGCAACCAAAUGGUUCCUUCUUUUGAAGAAAAUUUGACUUUUUGGCUAAAUUUUUUCUCCAGGUUUAAUAGGACAUUGUGUUAUAUAUUCAGGACCAUCCCCCCAUGGGUUCCUUGGCUGUUUCACUCCGUGCCUAUAAACUAAAUCUUGUAAAUGAAUUUUUUUUAUACUGUUCGAGAUUGUAGGAAUAUAUAAAGUAUUUAUCUAGUGCAGAUAUAUUUUCAUUUUUUAAACAUUUGGACAAAAAUAAGAGAUAAAACAUACCAAGUACAUCUAAAAGAUCCCAAAAGAAAUGCAUGGUAGACGUUUGCACUGGCCAGAUAAAUCAAUAUAUACACAAGAGGAGAGUAGAGAGAGGUAUUUGUGCACCAAUGUGAUGUUAUGUUUUAAUUGGCUUUGUCGUACACAUCAACUAUAAUUGCACCACCCUUGUGGGCGUACAAAGUUGGCUCAGGGAACUGUCCAUUUAGGGUCAUUAUUUUCUUUGUGCGGCAAAGCCUUGUGUAUGGAACAUCCUCAACCCGAAAGGAAUGGGUUCAGGAAUGGGUUAUAUAUAUAUAUAUAUAACCCAUUCCUUUCAGGUUUCGAACUGAGCUUUGUAUUGAUAUUUUUGCAGGAUUAUGAUCGUUAUUGGACAACAAAUAAUUACUUACCUCAAAUUUGUGACAAACCACAGAUGGGCAAUGAAGGAAGUAACUCGUCAAUAACAAAAAUCCCAAUAUAUGGAAACCUGAAAUUUUCAUGAUUGGCAACAUUUUUCAGCAAAUAAAUAACUCAUUUUGUUCAAAUUUGACGCUAUGAAUGCUUAAAUGAGACUAGCUGUUAUCAUAUUAUAGAUGAAGCUUUUAUAAAACGAUAAAAGUUGGGUAAAAUUUUUCUUCAUUUGUCAAUAUCAAACAUAAAGUAAGCACCAAAAUAUAUAACCAACUUCAAAUCCAAAGACGGAUAUUUUGAACUGCCGAAAUUCUGCGCUUGCCAGACGGAAGCUUCAUUUUCUUUAAAAGCAAAGGCCAAGGAAUGAAGAAAAGACUGAUACAAAGUUUUAUUACCGCAUUGGAAUAAUAUGAUGACGUUUAUUGUUAUUUUAUGUGAUUCAAUGAGAGAUAAUAUUGAUUAAAAACUAAAAGACGUGGAUUACACUACUGCUUUAUUGUAGAAUUGAUUGCUCUUAUUUGCGUUUUUGUAAAAAUAAAGCAGAAAAAGAAGAAUCAUAAUAAGAUGGCAAUUGUAACACUCCAGUGUGAGGGAUGUAAGAAUCUCAAGCAUUAUGAGACUUUUGUGGUGGAUCUGAACGAAGCGGAAAAUAUGAUAUAAUGUAAGAGCGGACUGUUAUAGUAAACAGGAGCUUGUUAUUUUAUAUUAUUAUGUAAGUUAUAUAACUUUUUCAUAAUCAUUUAAUGAAAAUCUAACAGUUGUAGAAAUAUAAGAUAAUAAAAUUUUAUUUUUUUCAUAACCGUUAGAUUUUUAUCAAAUGCCUAUAGAAUAAUUAUGUACCUUACAUAAUAAUGUAAGGUGAAUAAAGCCCAAUAAAUAACAUACUUACAUUAAUAAAAUGAAAAUUUUCAUUGUAGUAACAAAAUUGGAAUAUUACGACUUCUCCAACUUUAACCGUCUUAACAAAAUUGGGCCGCCACUUCGGCCUUGGUCGGAGUGGUGGGUUGCUGCCCUCACAAGCAUUGUGAGGGCAGCGGUUCAAGCCCCCACAAAAGUAUUUGUGGGGGCUAAUGUGCUUAUUUGUUUAAUAUUUCAAAAAUUUCCUCUCCCUCGUGCAAUACGAGUGGAGUAUGGAUAUCCCUCUUCUUUAAGGGAUUAUUUGUCUGGGCAUGUACUUCACAGAAUUCAAUGUAAAAAUAUAAGUCCCAAUCAUGUAUUUCUGAUUGUAAAUAUCAGUGUAAUAUAUCUGCUAUAAUAACAGUUGUAAAUAUCUGUGUAAUGCAGUAAUAUGAUGAUUAAUCAGUAUUCAAAAAAAAAAAAACAAAAUUGGGCCAAGUGAACCAAUUAAUUGGCAAGAGGACCGAAUAUAUAUUAUUUUUGCGUGUAAUUUUGGGUUCUUUAUAUUACACGCAAACAACAAACACUGAGAAAUUGUUGGGGAGCACUUUGGGUCCAUAUGUAUCCAAAUCUAGCUAAUAGUUACUUUCCACUAAUCAACUAUUCGAUAAAUGGGCUAGUCUAUUGACACAUAUAAAAGUCAAACACAUAUAUAUAUAUAAAGUUGGAAUUUGAGGAGGUGAUGUGACAUCAUAAUUUCUCAUAUUUAUAUAUUCUCUAUUAUCUAAUAAAUAGAGAAAUUUUCUUUUAGAUUUAGUUUUUCAUCUUCUCACAAUUAAUUUGAUUGUUAUUACACAAUAACAAUUAUGUAAAGGUUUUAAUGAGAUAUAUUCUUUGUAAUGAACAUGAAAGGGAGAGUGUUAUGAAUUUAUUAAAAUAAAUGCAUAUGUUCAUAACAUAUAUCUCUUAGUCUCCCCACUAUCUCUUAUUAGCAACAUUUAGCUUCCCUAUAACUCCCACUAUCUCACAAUGAAUUAUGAUCCAUAAUUUUUUAUUAAUUUCAUAGAGUGAUUAUAACUAUAAAAUGAGAGCUCAUCUUUUUGUUUUGUACACACACAAUUGGAAUGAAUAAAAUCACUCUAUAAUAUAUUCUCUCAUUUUAUUCUUUAUCUUGCGUUGCUUCUUUAUUUGUAUUGCUGGCUAAUAGUUUUUUUUUAUUUUUUAUAAGGUUGCCUCAUCUUAAAAAAAAAUCAAUUCAUAUUUUUUAUCAAUAAAAAAAAUAAUAAUACUAAUUUUUUUUUUCAAAACCGCGUGAAGCGCGGUUUUAUUUUCUAGUGUCUAUAUAUAUUUCAAGCUUUAGAUUAUAUCAAUUAUACAAUGCACAUUUCAACAAGUCUAUUCCGAUUUCUUGUCUCAUGAAUGACAUGUCGGUAGAAAACAAAACGAUAAAUAACGGACCAUCUAAAGUCUAUGUGUCAAUUAAAAUAUUAUUAUUGUUGAUGUGUUAAAAAAAAAUGAAUGCAAAUUCUCUUUCCCCACGACAUUUUCAAUUGGAAAAUGCUUAACAACUUGACCCAACUAAAUGAAUGGAUUUUCUCAUGUUAACAAGGGGUUAUGUCUCUAUUUGGGGUUUCUUUGAAUAUUUUUGUACUUCAAAUUUUAUUUUGUCAGCUGUGACGUUAAAGUUUCCUUAUGGAUGAAACUUCAAAAGUCUCAUGUUUCCAAGGUUCUCCGAAAUUAUUCCUUUCUUAAAUGAUUUGUUGUAAUAAAAUAUUUCUCAAUGUGUAAAGCUGAAAUUGGAAAUUUCCAUCAUCUCACCGCUCGAAAUAUAAAUAUCAUAUCAUUUUAUAGGAAAAAAAAAAUAAUAUAAAUGCUCAAUAUAAUUAAUUGUGAGGCAUGUAUUUAUUUAUUUAAAGAAAUUAUGUUAUUUUCUCAUUGAUAUUUCUUAUAAAAGUUCAUGUGAUGCAUUACCACAACUUUUGAAAUCUAAUUUGUUAAGCCUAACUAAUAGAGAGUUCUUAAGGGUGAAAAUAAUUCCUUUUUUUUUAACUGCGAAGACAGUAGAUUCGUAAGAUGAAUUUGCAAGCUUCAGGAUUUAAUUUACAUAAAUUGCUUCAAAACUAAUAAAUUUAACAAGGAGGCACGUCUGGUGGUGGAGGUAGCAAUCUUUCUUGGGGUGAUUCUCCGUUCUUUACAAUGAAUACCGUCUUCAUUCCCCAUGUAAGGUGCUCCUCUCUAUGGCAGUGCAUAAACCAGACUCCUGUACCAUCAUGAUAAUAUUUAUUAUUAUAACCAUUAUAAUGAUAAAUGUUAAUGAUGAUGAUGAUGAUGGGAACUGUUAAGACUGAAGAGAAAUUGCUUGACCAAAAAUAUAAACUAAUAGGUAAAAAUUCUUAGUAAGUUUCUCAUGUAAAACGUGUCAAUCAAAAAAUUUAGAUAACCUAUUGAGGGGGCCAUGGCCCUGCCAUAGAAAUUUUUUAAUGCUAUAGUAUGAAAAUAUAUUUUCUUGUAAUAAAUUUAAUUCGACUUCAAAUUUGGAAUAUUUUUUUUUUAUAUUUUGGCCACUAUUAUUUAUCAUUUACUGCAAAAUGAUCCUAUGCAUUUCUGAAAAUUUUCAUUCAACGCGUCCUUUCCUAUACUUUAACCUGUAUCAGUUAUUAUUUAUGACACAAUGACCCACAAAUUAAAUAUUACGAUUUCGCCACCGGGAUACAAACACGAGACCUUCAUUCUAAUAUUUUGGUAGAAAAUUUACUUGACCUAAAAGCUUAAGUUAUCAGCAAGGAUCCAAAUGGUAGAGACAAGUCUUAAUAAGAUCGAAGACAAGGAAGAAUCAAAGAUGAUGGUGAUGAGUGACGACAUACAUACAUAUAAUGAUGUUGAAGAAUAGUGCUGCUUACCAGGAUUGCUUGCCCUGAAUCUGACUGUAGCCCAGCCACUAAUAGGCACAUCCACUAUGGUCCGGAGAGGAGGAUCAAUAAGAUUAUAAUUUAAUGGGUCUUUUUCUUCGUCAAAAUUUCCGAACCCAAAUCCAACAACAAAAAAACUGUAUCCAUGCAAAUGUAUUGGAUGACUUGUCCCAGCAACCAAGUUUGUCCCUUGGAAAUUUAUCUCCACAGCUGAAUCAUAAUCCAAUACUUUCACUUCUGUCCCUUGUUUCGGAAUCUGUAAGAUCAUGGGCAAAUCAUCUGCUGUGAAGUUAAACAAAUAUGGCGGAAAGUCUGGAAAAUUCUCUCCAUAAACCCCAUUGAUGCGUUCGUAGUAAGCCUCAAGUAUAGCAAUUGAUGAUGGCUCAACAAAACUUUGGUUGUUCAAGCUAGCAGCAAGUCGAGUUCCAUUCGGCCCUUCACACGAAUUGUUAUCAUUUUCACAAGGCAAUGUGUUUAACGAAACAGUUGAAAAUAUCGAACUGGUAAUGUCUAACGGGACAUCUAUGGGAUGAUCUUCAUUUGCCAAGCUCCGAAGGCUACCGAUAAAUUGGAAGGCCGAAUUUGUGUCAUUCCUAGAAGGAAGAUAAGGUAAAGGAGGAGAUGAAAUUGGAGUGUAAUUUCCAUUGUAUUGUAAUACAGCCGUGGCCGUCGUGUUGUUGAUGAAAUCAAGAUUGACUACAGUGGAAUAAACACUUGAAGCCAUGUAGUAGAGAUUAGGGUUCUGGUUGGCUUGUAACAACACAUCUAGGGUUUGUCCUGGUGAUAUUGUAAUGUAACUGGUUGUUAAUGGAUUAGUGUAAGCACCGUCGGUUCCCACGACUGUGAGAUCGUGAUUUGCAAUGGAGAAGAAAAGCAUUUCGUCCAUUGCAGCAUUAAUUAUGCGGAGAAGAUAAGUUUUGCCUUCAUCCACUGUUAGCGUGAAUGUCUCUGCAAUAUAGAAUAUUAUUAAUUAGUUGUUAGAAGAAUUAUAAAAGCAUUAUUAAUUAGGAUACAUUUUUGGUAAAUUUUCUUCUUCUUUUUUUAUUCCUCUAAUUCAUGUACCGAAAAUCCGAAAUGACUCGGGCGUAUCCAACAUUAUUUUACUUUUAAAAAAAAAUUAAUUAAACCCGAUUACGUGUUAAUUGCAUAUAUACCUGAACUCGAGCAUGGGUAUAAAUCACCAGGUUGACCAUUUAUAGUAAAAGCGUCUGAUGUUGCUGGCAGUCCCCCGGUUCUAAGUAGUUCAUUUCGAACUUCCGUCACAUCUUGCUUCCACCACUCUCCUACAUUUUUUUUUGUUGCCAUAAUGUUUUUAACACUAACUAGAUCAUUAAUUUACGUUCAUUAAGAUUUUUGAUAGUAUUUAUGUGAAAUAAAUUUAGUAAAAUAAACUACCCAAAAUGAUUGGAACUUCGGCAUUGGGUUCAGGAAAAGGAUAGCCAGCAGUUCCAGGCCUCGGCUGUAUAAUGAUAGCUCCAUGUACUGUGGCACGUGACCAGUCACUGUGAGCAUGCCACCAAAGAGUUCCUUCCUCUUCCGAAAAAAUUAUCUUCUGCCUGAAGCUUGCUCCAGGUUUGAUUGGGCACUGUGUUAUGUAUGCAGGACCAUCGGACCACGGAUACCUAGGCUGUCUCACUCCGUGCCUGGACGUGAAAUCAACCCUAGUCUGUUAAGUUUACAAUCGAGCUAAAAGCUUAAGCUCAAAGGUAAAAGCUCAGUAUUUCAUUGGUGAUACAGAAACAUCCUCUUUUUUUUUUUUUUCCUUUUUAUAAUACACUUAAGUGAAAUAAAAGAGCUAGCUGUACAUAUUUACCAGUGAAUGGUGAUAUUUUCUUUGCCUUCAUUAGAAACCUCGACGAAGAUUGUAUCGCCUGUAAAAACCCUAAUAGUUGGUCCAGGGAAUUGUCCAUUUACGGUCAAGAUAUUCUUUGUGCUGCAUAGCCUUGUAUAUGAAGCCUCCUUUACCUACACAAAAAAUUAAUUAUGCAGUAGUAUAUCCUUAUGCGAAGAAAAAGAAGAAAAAUAUUUAUCGAUAUUCACAUUUCUUAGUUUAUGCGAUUCAAUUUUUUUUUUUUUUUAACAUGCCACUUAAACAUAACCCAAAAAUAAUUAAAAAAUCAGAAUGUUAAAAGUAAUAAAAAUAAAGGUUACAAUAUCGUUAUUAAAAUGGGAAGAAAUGGUCAAUAGCCAAUCGAAUACGAUAUUGCAUAGAUUCCCCGUCCCUCAGGUAUGCAUGAAGCUAGCUAGAGACUGAUCGCUAGAGCAGCGCCUCACAAAAAUGUUUAUUUUUAAUUCGGAUAAUUUAUAUUUUCAAUCCAAAUUAUAGAUUUUUUUAUUCUCUAGCCCAGCGAACUUUAAGAGUUUUACGUCUUGCCCCAGAAAUACAUACUUUUUAAAUUUUCAGUAUUCGGCCUAAUGCCUGCCUAUAGACCUUUAAUUACCCAUGAGAGUGUGUGACAUUUGGACCCCCAGAUGGAAAGAAACAAAGCCUAUAGAGGCCAAGUCUAAGAACUACAUAUUAAACUCGGGACCAUAAUAGUAAUAAAAAAAGGAAAAUAAACCUUAAUUAGCAUGAGCCAGAGAAUAAAAACCUAUCUCGAGGCAAAAAUGUGAAUAGUUAUUUCUAUCUCUCAAUUGAUUUUGAGUUUUUUUUUUUUGGAAAAGGGGCCGUGGCUGCUUAGGACAUAGCCGGGCUCCAUCCUGGAUGCAUAAAGCUAAAAAUAUAGUAAAGAAGCUCUUGAAAGCAAAAAUAAUUAUAAACAAAGGAAAUAUCUUUAAAAUGUGCAACUAGGAAAUCUAUGGCAUCUCACAGCAUAUGUAAUUUUGUAAAUCAUGAAUUGCCUCUCUGUGAUAGAAAGAGAAAGUACAGUACUACUCACCACGAAAAGAUGAUCAUUUGAAGCCGAGCGGAGGCUAAACAAGAGCUGAAAGCAGAAUAUUUUUAAGCAGAAGGUUCCAUUGCGAAGACGCAGCAUCUUCCGAAUUUUGAUAAUAAGAAUACUUUGCUUCUUCAAUUGACCAAAUGAAAUUUUUUUUUUGGUUCUUAUACAAGUUAGUGAUGAGCAAGAGAGUCAUUUGCUCACGUUAUUAUGAUACUGAUUGCUUAAGGACAGCCGAAAGAACUAAGACAUUCCAAAUAUGUAUAUUGCCCCAAAAAUGCUGAUUGGGACUCAAUUUCUACAAUAAUAUUUUUCAUAAUUGCAUGAUAUUUUCGUUAGCCAAUUGAUAACUUAAAACAAAAAUGACCACUAAUUAAGCUUUAGCAUUUCUUUCAUUUUUGGUUAUUAGCACCCACUCUAAUGUUUUUACCAUGUUUUAUUAUUGUUGUAUCAUUUUUUUCUGUCUUAAAGAAAAAAAAAUAGUGAUAUGCAUACUAAUUAUUUCUGAACUGGCUUGGUCAUAUUAGUUUAAAAUUAUGUCAAAAACAUUCAAUAGGGUGAUUAUAUUUAUAGAUAGAGGGAAUAACCUAUAAUUUUAAGAACAAAAUUUUGGAACGAAAGUUUUAAUUAUGCCAAAAUUUCCAUGACGAAUUCUUUAGUAAAUGUCGAGCCAUUAUCUUGCUGUGAAGUAAAAAAAUAAUAUCUAAAUAUAAUAUAGGGAGAUUAUCAUUUUUUUCCAUAUUAAAAUUAAUAUAUAUCACUUAUCCUUUUACCCCCUAACACAAAAAAUUUAAAGAAAAAGAUGGGUAAAUGGGCCAUUUCUAAUAAUAUUCUUAUUUUCAAAUACAUUUUUAUUUUUAUUUAUUAUAAAUUAAAUAAAUAGAAAUUAAAAUAAAAAAAUUUGAAGUAUUAAAAAUAAAAAUAUAUAUUUGGAUGUGAAAAAAAUUAAUAAUAAGAUAUUAUAAAAAUGCCCAUUGAUCCCCCUUCUUCUUUAAAAUAUUUGUGUUAGAGUAGUUUUUGGAUAUUAUAAAAAUAGUAGGGGAAUAAGCGGUAUAUUGAUCUCAGUAGAGAAUAAACUGACAAUCUACCUAUAAUUUAAGUAGUAAAUUAAUUUAUUCUAAAGUCCAUUUUUGAUAACCCAGUGCGUGUGUAGUUCGAAUGUGAUGCUCAAAAACUAAUUGAUAGAUCGAUAUAGCAAGCGAUACACACAGAACAAAUCAAUGAUGGCCCAUUAAAUCUAGGAUAUACAUAAUUACUUGUUCAAAAUAAAUUAAAAAUUGUGAGAAACUACAUCAUUGCAUUCAUACAAGUUUUUUUUUUAAUUACAUUUAAUAAGAAUUAAAAUAAUCUUUGUCCCCUCCUAAAUCGUUUGUGUAAUAAUUUUGUGCUUUUAGGAAUCAUUUCGAAACAAAGAAAAUCUAUAUUUGUCUUAGAGGCCUUUUUAUCAGAAUAUUUUAGUCAAAUUAAGUUUGACUUUGGCUGCAAUGACACAUUUUUUGCUGAAGAGAGGUCCUGCUAUUUUUCAACACCCCUAGUUUUACAGGUGAGCUUUACAGCUAAUUAAAAAGUGGUAGCAGGUAUUAACAAAGAAGAAAACGACUCAAAUCUUAUGAUAGGUUUAUCUAUCCCUUUCUUGGAAUAAUAUUCCAAAAUAAUUUUACUUUUUUUAAAACACCCAUAAAAGUGAAAUUAAAUUGCUUAGUUAACAAAGGUUUAACUAGUAAGUAUAUGUAACUAAGUUAUUUCUUUUCUAGUUGGCUUCAGAGAUUAAGAAAUGAUUUUCGUCUGUUGCAUCGGACUUUCUGGCAUCGCUGCAACUACAGCAUUUAUUACAUUGACAAUUGGAUGUUAGUGAAUUCAGAUAUGGGAAACAAUAGCGUAUGAUUAGUUAUCAAUCACUAACUUUGAGCAAAAAGUUGUCGAUCGAUCGUUGUUUUGUUUUAUUCAUUUGCUUUUUAAUGGACAGUAUAAAUUCUUUUCCGAUGAACAAAUAUAGCCAACGUAGUUGAAGAUAAGAGAAUCGUACCCGUUUUUGAAUAACGACAUUGUAGAAAUAUUGAAUGAAGUUGGUUGAAUUUCAACCCUCCAAUUUAUUAGACUUUAUGGUUUACGUAGCUUACAAAAGCAAAUAAUCCAAUAGUGUCCGAAAAGAAUGUAACGUAUGCAAACCAUAUCCUCUAUUACUUAGGAUGCCAGUGAGACGGAAAGGAAUAAUUUGGAAAAAAGAGUGAAUGACAUGAAUAUAAAAUAAAACAAAAUUCUCUCAUUUUUCUUCUUUUUUAAGAGACGUACUUAAUUUUUUUUUUUUUGUUUGGUUAAGCUUUUUCUCUCUCACUUUUUCUUUGUGCUUUCAAUCGUAGUAUAAAUUUUUAUUUAUUUAUUUAUUUUCUUAACACUAAAAAAGUUAAAUAAUUAUGUCUAAAUAAAAUUAACAAAUGGAUACAUGUCAUGAUUGAUUGAAUAUCAAAGAAGUGUCCAACAAAAUUGACACCGCUGUCAGCAUUUCCACUUCAAGCACAUCUGGCACCCACGUCUCUAUUGAAGUUUUUUUUUUUUUUAAUACUGAUUAAUCAUCAUAUUACUGCAUUACACAGAUAUUUACAACUGCUAUUAUAGCAGAUAUAUUACACUGAUAUUUACAAUCAGAAAUACAUGAUUGUAACUUAUAUUAUUACAUUGAAUUCUGUGAAGUACAUGCCCAGACAAAUAAUCCCUUACAGAAGAGGGAUGUCCAUACUCCACUCGUAUUGCACGAGGGAGAGGAAAUUUUUUGAAAUAUUAAACAAAUAAGCACGUUAGCCCCCACAAAUGCUUUUGUGGGGGCUUGAACCGCUGCCCUCACAAGCAUUGUGAGGGCAGCAGCCUACCACUCCGACCAAGGCCGAAGUGGCCUAUUGAAGUUAAAUAAUAUGGAAGAAGAUCAUUAAUUAUUGAAAACCUAAGUAGAGAAGUUUGUAAUCUUAUUCUCAUACGCAUGCAAUCAAAUUCUCAGUUUCCACUAUAAAUAAAGAUUUGGAACUGUUUUAGAUCUCAAAAUAGCACGCAGUUAAUACGAAGACUUUUGCUGAGUAAAGCCCCAAAUGCAUAGGCUAGCUGUUAUACAUUUGUACACAAGUAAGUUCAAAACAACAGUUUUACACCGCUGAGAUGAAUGUAACAGUUAUGCAUAUCCGAUCGAUGUAAACCUACGAACAGAAAGUAUGUUUAAUCUACAACCUCUUAUGCAAGGAUUGAAACUCUAACAUCAUGCGUGAUUUAAACACUUUGGGACAUUCAAUGAUCGAAUGAGCAAAGCUAAGUUUUCUGUAUCUUCAGCUGCGAGGAUUAUUAAACAAUCGAAAGCUUGACUAAAGAUAUAUAAUUAAGCAAGAGAAGAAUAAAUGUAAUAGCUAGCAUGUGCCUCCCGGUUUGAGCGGGAACUUCUAAUUUGGGUUGUGGUAUGAGCUUAAAGGUGUCUCCCAUAAUUGGGACCCUUCCCAAGAUACCUCGUGGUUAAGACCAAAAAAAAAAAAAAAAAAAGUCUCCAUACGCUUCAGAACUUGAAACGCGUCAAAUGACACCAAAACGAGUGAGUUUGACUGCCGUUUUGGGAGGAGACGAGAGUUUCCUUUAGUUGUGUUUCUAUUCAUUUUCUUUUAUUCUUUUUAUUAUUAUUAUUAUUAUUUUACUUUUUUAAAUUUGGAAAACUGUUGGAUUGGAACCGAGCAGUAUAAAAACCAAUUGGUUUCAAUUGACAAACUCGAGCCAACUUGAAAAAAAAAAGUAAAUUUUGAGUUACUCCCUCGUAAAUUAUUAAUAAUUUUUAAAUUGUCUCUUUAUUUUUAAAAAUAUUAAAUUAUCUGCUAAAAAUAGUUAAUUUUAACGAUUGACCGUCAUUAACCUUAUUAAAUAUGAAAAUAUAUUUUUUAACAGCCUCGUUAACUAACGGUUUUAAUAUUAAAAAAUACUAUUAAAUUGAUAAAAUAAUAAAAAUUACAGACCUUAAGAUCCAAAAAAAAAAAUCUAUCUCUUCUCAAUUUCAUCUUCACUAAAUCAAAAUCACAUUAAACCUAAUUAAGAUACCCAUAAUAUUGGUUGGCAUGGCUACAUGUGGCAAAGGAUUUGGUUGCCUUGACCGCGUGCAGCCAUGGCUUGGUUUCCAUGGUCGCAGGCCACCAGGGAUUUGACUGCCUUGGUUGCACGUGGCCAUGGGUUUGGUUUCCAUGGCAGCGCAUGACCAAGGGUUUGGUAUCCAUUGGGGUAAAAUGAAAAUUUGUUAAAGCGUUUGGGGCUUACUAUAAAUAUUUAAAAAAAUUGUGUGUGUUUUAAAAUGUUAGAAAGAUUUUGGCUAUAAAAAUUUGCCUACAUAGCAGCUUGGUCUUUUUCCUCUUAAUUGACUGUUAGGAAAAUGUAUAAAUUUAUUUUACCCUUUUGAUAGUUAAAAAUAAUAGAGAUAACAAUUUUUGAGAGUAUAUUUUCAAGAGUAAGGAAAGUAAUUUAAAUAUUGUUAAUUCACGUAAGGGUAAUCCAAUAUUAACCCGAAAAAUAAACACCUCAUUUAGUUCAGGAUUGUCAAUCGUGGGACCUAGGUAUCAAAAGUUAUAUAGUCUGUAACUUGAACAUAUUUAAGAGUAAUACGUGGGACUUAAAAGCAAUUUUUUUUAAAUACUUUUUACUUUUUCUUGGUAAAAUAAAUCUAGGAGAACUUUUCGGAAUCUCUGUACAAACAAACUUGUAGGUUCGGGGAAAAAAAAAACUAUUAGUAAUCCAAAAAAGAAAACAAAGAAAAUACCGAGUCGGCCCAUAAAGGAUAAAGUGCUGGUCAAAAUGGUAACUCCAUACGAGAACGGGACUUGAACCCCUGAUCUCUGAACAGGACUUGAACUCCUGACCUCUCUUAAAGAAUGAGAGUGUCAAACCACUCACACCAACCAACUUUGAUUACUAUUUAUCUAAUUUCUUAAUUAUACAUAUUUAUACAGUUAAAUUCUUCGUUGUGUUACAUUUCUUAGUUCUAUUUCAACCCAAUAGGCUAAUACAUGAAAUAAAAUGUGGAGAAAUGUAACAGAAUACACAAGAAAAAUAAAAACAAAUGGGCGAGAUGUCAUGUUCUCCACCGAAUAUCAUAAUGAAUAGUUUUGUUUCAAAUUUGCAAUAACCUCAGCUCUCAAGGACUUCUUAUAAAUGUUGUUAUAUACACCUACCUUCAGGUACAUUCCAUGCAUAUUAUUAUGUAUACGAUUCCUCUAGAGUCUAGAUUGUUAAAUACUAACUAAGCAACAAAUUAUAUCUGUGGGAACCAUACCCAUUAAUAAUAUGGUUCCUUGAAAUACAGCGCAUAAAUAAUGCAACAAAAAGUAAAAAUAAUAACAACAACAUCAAAGGUGAGAGCUGUCAUGGCUUGGUCACUCAGCUCCAUAUUUCUUCCUCCUAAUCGAUCCACCAUGUCCGGAAUUGAUCCGUAGUUCUUCAAUGCUUGAUCAUAAGGAUCUUCAAAUUUCAUUUUUAGCUUCUCAGCUUUUCGGCUUGCAGCUUCUUGAGCAAGUGUCCAGUCAUAAAACCUUCUGCUUUCUUCAUUGCUUAAUACAUCGUAAACUUCCCUUAGCUUUAGGAACUUCUCAGAAGCAGCUUUUAGAGGGAGUGAUGUUGUGUCUGGGUGGUACUCUUUUGAUAAUCUUCUGUAAGCUGAUUUUAUCUCUUCCAAAUCCGCGCUUGGUGAUAUUCCUAAGAACCUGAAUUUUAUAUAUUGACUAUUAAUCGAUACUAGCCAGCUACUUGAGUUCUGAACAUUGAGGCUAACAAUAAUUUUCAAAGAGAACUUAUUACAUUUCGAAUUAACUACAUCUUACAGUUUUUUUUUUACAUUUCGAAUUAACUACAUCUUACAGGAACAUUGAGGCUAACAAUAAUUUUCAAAGAGAACUUAUUACAUUUCGAAUUAACUACAUCUUACAGUUUUUUUUUUUUUAAAUUUAUUCGGCCUGUUUUGUAAGAAAUCUAUUGUGAAAUUGUGUAAAUCAUCAUAUACUUACUAGUUAUAACUAAGAUUGAAUCCUUAAUAAUUUUAAGCUAUUAAGUUGAGAAGUUUCCCUAUCUCAAAUAGAGUAAAUAGCACAUGUACAAAGUUUAUUUCAAAUAUAUAUAUGUACAAUUAUAAAUUUGUAGAAUUUGUGAAUAAAUCACCAACUAUUGGAUGAGCAAUAUCUAUUGAAAAAGUGAAACAAGAAAUGGAAUAAAAAAUAAUAAUAAUAAAACAAACUUACUGGUAAUGAGAAUCAGAGGAGUUGUUUAAAAGAUCAGCGAACUUCUCACCCAAGAGAUUCUUCUGCUCUUCUUCAGCAUUAAAAUUCUGGUUUGUUUGGUGUGACGAUGAUGAGCUUCCACCAAUCCACCCUUCAUCUUCGUUUUCCCAAUGAAUCCUUGUAUCAACUCCCGGCUGCGCUCUUCGUUGGCUCUUGUUACUGCCAGCCUUUUGCGACGCAAACACACGCAGAAUUUUGCUUCUUGUCCUUGCUGUUGCCGCUCUGGGCUCCUUUGUCAGCUGCUGCAGGCUGCCGUGUUGGGUUUUGAGAAACAGAGAAUAUGGAGAUUGCGGAGAUACUGUGGAAGCCAUGAACAUGAAUGAGAGGGAAAAGAGAAUUGGUGCCGGCUUCCAUUUUCAAGAUGAGAAGAAAAUUUGUUUUUUUCAGGGCCUCAUGUUUCUGUGUGGCCCAGAAAUUCCGAGGACUUUUCUCUCACAAAUCUUUUGUUUUUAAAUUUUAACUGUGACCUCAUGCCACAUUCACAAAAUUAACAAUUUUGGAGGUUUUAGCAAUUUUCCUCAGAUUGUGUGAUAUAUAAUUUAAAAUGUAAAAUCCAUAAACUCUCUGAAAACCCCCUUGAUAAUUGAUUAAUAAUGACGGUGGCCGGUGGGGACUUGAGUGAAAUAAACAGAAAGCUAGGUGGGACCGUAGUCAUAGUUGCAAAUAAAGUAGGGACCUAUACGUUUUCAUCCUUCCUUUUUUUUUUUUUUUCCAUGAAAUAUCGAAAAUAAUCUAAAUUCAAAAUUACAUUGAGAAAUUGGAAGAAAUCUAAAAACAGGUCCGCUAUCAGCUUGUCUAUUUUGAUGAGUUCUCCAUCUUUCUCUGCCGUGAUAAUUAUAAAAUAUUAUCUUUUACUUUGUUGCAGCCAUAAAUGAUAAAUUUUAGACUUCCCAUCGCUGUUUUGCAGUUGUUCCAUGUUCGCAGAGCAAUAGAGUUUGGGAAUUUUAGUGAUUAUUUGCGUAUGUGAUCAUAAGUCUCGGGCUACUAAUCUUCACAGUUAAAAGCACAAUACAAUUAAUUCUGAAGAUUUUUAAUUCCUAUAUAUAGUCUUUUAAUAUUGUCAUAAGAUUAACGUAGAUUUUUUAAAACUGUAAUCACCAUGGAGUAUAUUAUUGGGCAUGUUCUGAGGGGGGAAAAAAGUGUAACUACAUUUUAUUAAAAUAAGGUUUUUGAAUCUUUCAAGUUCUAUCUUUUAAAUAGUAAUGGAACGAGGGUAGCGGAAUCGAAAUUGAUAAAAUAGAAAACACUAGAUAUUAGUACUAGACUAAGUCAAUGCAAUUAAGUUAUAUUCUAAUUGAAGCGUGAUUAGAUCUCAUUCUAAUUAAACGACUCAAUGAGAUUUUUCAAUAACGAGUAAAAUGAGAUUAGAUGAUGCUCUAAUCCAAACGACUCUACAAGAGUGGUUUCGAUAGAUAAUCCUAGAGGGAAUUAUAAAAAAAGAAAUUUUAUUGAAUAACUGAAUUUGAAGUUAUAACAAUGAGACCUCUCUAUUUAUAAUAAAAAUAAAUUACAAUUAUAAUGAAAAUAAAACAUUAAAUCACAUACCAUAAUCAAUUCUAAUUAAAAUAUAAAAUAAAAUUCUAGAAUCAUAAGAUACUUAAAAUAACAUCUUACAUAAAAUGGUUUGCCAAUUGCCAAGAAUAAAAAACAUAAAAUGGACAAAAUUAUUUCACUCUUUUCAUUUCUCAAAUGGCUUAAAAGGCAAAUUAUAUAAGAAAUGCACAAAACAAAAAUAAUCUAACAUCUUCUAAAUUGCAAUGAUUAUUUUUUAUUUUUUAAUUUCACGUAUAUGCAUAUGAUAACAACAGUGAUUUUUGCUAUUUUUAUAUACAUGCAUGUCAAACAAUGGUCUGGAUCAUAUAUUUCGGCAAAGGUAUCUUUUCCCUUUGAGUGGAAAGUAUUUUAAGACUUUAUCAUGUAACAUGCUUACGGUGCUUAAUUACAUGAUUCACAAGGAACGGGAGAGUAUUAAUAAACUGGAACAACCAAAUUUGUUUAAUGGAGUCGAAUGGAACGGCAUAUAUGUCAUACUUACGAAAAGACGUUAGUCUAGAACCUGAGUAUGUCUGAUGGAAUUGAAUGAGACCAUUUGCAAAUUAAUUAACUCUAAAUUUUAGGCCAUUUCAAUAAAUUUAUGUGUCCAGUUUCAGAAAUCAGAAUACUUGCUGAGAAGAUAGGACUCUUGUCUGGCUAAAUUGAGAGCAAAGGCAUGAUGAUGGCACAGAUUGAAAGCAAUUCAUUGCCACGGACACCUACCCAAUUCCCAAACAUGAUGACAAUACCAAUGACUUCAUAUUAGCUUCAUUUGUCUCUGUCUUCUAUCUUUUGGCCCCAUAUUCUCAAAUUUUAGACCAUGCAUGCUCCGAAAUUAUGGCCUGUCUCCAUCUAAUGACAGUGAUUUCAUCUAUUUUUAAAUUUUUAUUCUUUUCACAAGAACAAGUUGAACGAAAUGAAGGUAGAGAGACACAACUCACGAUUUACGAUGACUUAAUUCAAAUUGUAAUUUGAAUUUGGAUUCAAAAUCUAAGAGACUUGGAACUAAAAAGCAACGACAUUUCAAUGUUGAUUUCAAAACAUAAGGUAAUAAACUCGUAAUUAAUCCAAUUUAUUAGACUUCAAACUAAAACUAUGUGCUUAAUUAAAAAUAUCUGUCAACUUAUAAUUUGAUUAUGAUUCGAAAUCUAAACAAAAAGAUUUGCAAAAUAAGUUGUUAACUAGUAAACUAGGAUUAUAUCUGAACAUCAUAACAUCAGUGCCACGCAUCCGAUUCAACCACUCUGCUAAACUAAGAUUACAAUUUAUGUUCGAAAAAAGAAAAACUAAGAUUACAAUCUAAACGCAACAAAGAGAAAAUAUAAACUCAUUAUGAACAAUAUGACAAAGUGGGUAAUUUUUUAGUUGCCCUAGCUUCAGUUUUACCCCAUUACAAAAGAAAUUGAAAAAAAAAAAAAAAACAGAACAGCAAUUCAUAGCAUCGUUACAUUACAAGAUUUAACAGUCUGUUACGCCGCAGCCGGAGGAGCCGCCUCCGUCGGAGACUGAGAAGCAGAUUCAUCCUUACGACGGUGAGAUGCAUUCUUGUUAUUAUGCAUCCAAACUUUAAGCACGUGUCUUUUAACACCCACUUCAUUACAAAACUGGUUGAGUGCCACGUCAUCCUGCCUUUGCAUUCGCCACCCUAUUCUCUCGGCAAACUCAAGCAUCUUAUCCUUUUGCUCUUGCGUGAACUUAGUCCUCUGCCUCUUGCUCUUCCCCGUCGCCGGACCCACAGUUCCCGGAGGACACACAUUCAGAUUUACCUCCUCCCUCUCGGGGGUCUCCGACCGUCUAUCAUAUUCGUCAUAACGAUCAACGGCUCCCACUAGCUUGGUAGGGUCCUUGAAUAGCAACAAACGCUUUGGCUGCAGGAGCAGCUGGCCCCGGACUUCUCUUCUGUGGAAGUUACGGUGACAGCCGCAUGCAGCGCACGUGAGGGAGUCAUCAGCACGUGGCAUGAACUCGCAGCAGCCGUCGUUGGCGUGGCCGCCGAUGGAGGCUGCGUGGUUCUUCAUGCACUCUUUGUAGUUGAUUAUGUUUGGUUCUUGUUGUGGAUGCGGAUGUUGGUGUUUGUAAGGAACCAAACUGAGAUCCAUUAUUCAAAGUAAUUGAUAUCCUUGUUUGAUUUGUUUAAUGAAGGGGGAUUACAAGGUAUAGUAACUGUAUUUAUGUGAAGUGGAAGGAUAGAGGAGAGAUGGAGAUGAAACAAGCAAAAGUGAGAGAAAGAGCAAGAAUUAAUGUUUGUUUUGUUGUAUAGUAAAUAUUAAUCCUUAUUGUGGGAGGAGCGUGACGUGUAUUUAAGAAAGGACACGAGAGAGAGCAGUGCUAUUUCCCUCCCCCCCCAAUUUGAUUAGAUUAUGAAUUCACGUAUUUAGAACACACCCCAAAGUUAUACCAGUCAGAACAACAAAAUUUGUCAUAGUUAGACGAUAUAUAUAUAUAUAUAUAUAUAUAAAAGCUAAAAAAAUUAAAUAAAUUAACAGUGUGUACUUCUCCUAACUUUCACUUUAGUAAAUAUGAACGUGAUAAAUUGUUUCAUGAAAUUUGUUUUCCAAAAUAAAAAAUUAUUAUCCAAAUCUUAGUAUACAAUGAGUUGAAGAUGGGAAAAAGUUUGGACUAGUGGUUAUCAUCUCUCUAAUCUCUUCUUCAAAUUUCUGGGAAUGUAUUUAAGUUCCACUAGUUUGAUGUAGAGUUUGAUUUCUUUGUAAUUUAUUUGGAGCAUAUUAUUCCUCUUAUGAGAACCAAGUUUUGCAUGCCCUCAUCGCCACUUCAACAAUCAAUACUUAUCUCGCGGUCGUGCUUAGGAAAACUGUUCCUAAAAGGUUUUUAAUAGUAAUAAAUUAGAUUUCUAUUAUUCUUUAUUCUUUCUUUAAAAAAAAAAAAAAGGAGUUACGUACUGAUGCAUACACCAAUCUAUUGAGAACUUAAUGUUAAAAUGUUUAUAAGACCGCAUGCACUCCAAAAGUUGACUUGUUCUUGUAGUUAUAAGUUACUCAUUUCAAUUGUAAUUUUCCAAUGUUUCAAAUCUAGAGGUUCAGUUAUAAAUUAAUUUAAGGUGUGAAGUUGCAAGCUUGAUAAGUGACUCGCAAUACAAAUGAGUAUAAGUCCAACCUUAUAUUCUUUAUUGCAAGUGGAACAUGUCCAGUUGUAAGGGACGGACACUGCAUAUUUUAAUGGGUGACUUAUGUUACAUCAAUAAUAUUUUUUUUUUAUUCUUUCAAAAAAAAUAAUAUUUUUUUUUAAUAAACCUCAAGAAAGGUAUAAUUUAUUAAAUGAAAAAAAGAUACAAAGUUCAUUUAAAUGAGACAAAGACAAAAAAAAAAAUCUAAUAAAGAAAAUACUAAACCAUAAUGGGGUUAAGAAAAUCGGUGCGUAAGUAUCCUCUGGGAAUCAUCAAGUAUAGGCUUUUUAAUUUCUAAUGAGGGAAAAUCUCACCAUUUGAAAUCGAAGAAAUCGAAACUGAUGUUGGUUAAAGUGUCAGCGGCAUCAUUCUCUGUAGAUAUGGGGACAAUGAAAUCGCAUACACUUUAUCAUAGUUAGGCAAUUGAGCCAUCAAGUGCGAGCUGUCAAGGAGAAGAUAAGAUGUCACUUUUUAGUGAAGAAUAAGCAGUCAUUGAAUCACAUUCCAACCACAAUGAAUGCUAGCCCUUAUGGUAAGCAAAUUCGAUAGCACAAAUAAUAGCAUAAAGUUUUGCAUAAAAUGAAGUUUGAUUCCCAAUUGACAUAGUGAAGUAGCCCAGAAAAGUUCAAUGAGGACCUCAAUAAAUAGCGCUACAAGAAGCUGGACCUGGAUUUCCUUUAGAUAGAUCGUCAAUAUUAACUUUGACCCAAGAAAAUAUGAGAGGAUGCCAUAAAAUUGUAGAGAUCUUUGGAGGGAUGCGGAGAGGAUUGUUUAAGUUAAGUAGGUUAUAAAUAGGAAAAGAGUCGGGAAGACCUACAAAGCCUAAGCAUAGCUUACUCAAGUGAGAGAUAUAUUUCAAACAUUGAUGCUUAAUACGUGCAAUUGAAGGAUGAAUAUUUUCAAAUUUUAGUUUAACACAUCAAUAACAUGAAUUUUGUUUGAUGUUGUAUAAUUAGUCAUAAUUUUAAUUCACUUUAUUAAUUAUUGAAUAUAGAGUCUUUCUUUUCUAGUAGGCAUUCAAAUUCAAAUUGUCAGCUAAGGGUAUAAAUAAAUUGAUAGAGUCUCAUGAUUGAACCAGUGGCGAUUUCAGAUAGUUGAUGGAGAUAUCAAAAUCCAUAUAUUUCUACUCAAAUUUAAUGGACAAUGAAACUCUAAAAACUUAGUGUAUGCGUGUAUAGUGAGUAAUGUUGCAUUUACCACUAUCAUUCAAAAGGUGUUCUGAUUUCUUAGUAAUUUGAUUAUCAAUUUGUCAUGAUAGGUAUUGUGUUUAUAACAUGUUUUUUAUUUUCUUAAACAAAUGUAGUUAGUUAAUAAAUCAUAUAUCACGUAAUUAACACAAUUCGGAUACAUCGAUUGAAUAACAUCUCGAACAAUGGUUCUGAUAAUAUUUUUAAAAUAAAUGAUGUUUGUUUGGGUUCAAAUCAAAAAACGUAUGUAUUAUAUUACCAAUCAUUAAAAAAAUAAAAAUAAAAAUUUUAAUUUGAAUACCAUGCAAUAUCAAUGCUCUAUAAAUGAAAUCCAAACAACUUGUUAAAAUUUUUUCGUAGAUGUGAAAAUUGAAAUUAUUUCACCCAAUCUUUCGUAUGCCAAAAAAUUUAUAUAUAUAUAUAUAUAUAGAUUCAAUUUCCGUUGGGGACAAUGCAACAACCAGCGGCUCUUUCAAGUUUCCGACCCUCAGCAAUCAGCGCAUGAGUUGCAAAUUCCAAAAAAGAACCAGUCCGUAGGACCCACAAGAGAGAAUGUGUCGAUAACCCGCUGGAAUGCUAAUCACUGUACUCUAACCCCAUCUUGUGAGAGGUCGAUAUCUCAUUCCCAGGGACGGGGGACCCACCCACGUGGAUUCAGAGACAACGGUCAGAGGAUCGGACGGCUCAGAAAUCCUGACUACCUGAUCUUCAGGAGUAUGGGCAAAUAUCUGCAUCAGCUGCUGCUGAUAGGCUGGAUCUGGAUUUGAUUGAUUGAUUGGCUUCGGGCUUCCUCCUCUUUUUUUUUUUUUUUAUAACACGUCACGCUUCUAACGCCAUGCUAUGUGGGUCCCGCAGUACGAUUAAAUUUUUUUUAAAAAGCUCCAUCAGAUUCAGGCCGAUCACAACCGUCCAUUAGGAUUACUGACACAUCUUCUGACACACGCAAUGGGGCUUUAACCCAUUAAUUUUUUAUUCAAUAAUUGUCUAAUCGGCUGCAGAACAUAACAUUUUAACUCAAUGCAGCGGCGCAUCACACGUUCAAGUCUGUCAUAGCAACUAGCAAGAUACUGAAAACUUUUUUUUUUAAUGAGGCAAGAUACUGUAACUUUGAAUGUGACUAACGAGUUUUUACCCUUUCAAAAGAAUGUGACUAACGAGUUUUUACCCUUUCAAAAAAAAAAAACGAGUUUUUACAAUAUAUUUUAAGUAUUGCUUUUAUGAUACAAGUAUGCUGUGUUCUUAUUAUAGAGAGACGGAGGGGGAAAAUAAAUAGUUCGGUGUAUUUACUUUUUAUAUUAAGAAAUUAAAAUUAUUAACAACAUUUGCUUCGUAAGUUGAGAAUGGAAAUUAGAAUUGAAAUGGUGACACUCAUCUUAAUUAAAAAAUGAAGAAUAAGAAAUCGAUCUUCAAAGACGUGGGAAUCAGCCUCACUUUCCUAUAAAUACAAUUUUACCCAUAUCAGCAUUUUGAUAUUCCAAAAUACUCUCCUUUAAAUAAAAAAUUAAAUAAAAAAAAAUCGCAACCGAACCUCCAUCUUAGCCGAACCAAAAUCAAGCGCAGUCAUCAUCGUUGUUGAUCCGUCGGUUGUGAAAUAACAGUUGGUUGCCGGUUUUGUCUAAAUUUGAUUUGUCUCCAUUUCGUCUCCGAUGGCCCAUGGUUCCAAUCUAAUGAUAAUAAUGAUGAUCCCAAUUUUGAUUAUUACUAUUAUUAUUACUUUUUGAAAUGGAUUAUUAUUAUUAUUAGUAGUAUUAUAUUAAUGAUAAAAAGCAUCAUCAUCCUACUACUGCUACUACUACUAAUAAUAAUAAUAAUAAUAAUUGAAUAAUAAUAAGCACAAUAAUUAAAAUAAAAAUAAUAAUUAUGACAAUAAUUAAUUAAGAAUUUUGUAGUAAUUUAUAACAAUCUAAUUCAUUUCGAUUCAAAUUCCAAAACAACAUAAACACAUUAAUAAAAAUAGAGUUCAUUCCAAUUUUGAUUUUUAGAGCUCAAGUAAACAAUUUAUUCUGAGUUCGAUUCCACCUCUUUCCGUUCCCGCUAAUUAAAUGCAACGGUAGGAUUUUCUCAAAGUUACUUACAAAUAAUCUUUUCAAUGAUGCGAAAAAUACAUACUGACUUCGAGCGAAUGGCUGAAUUAACCAAUAACAUGACCACCUUGUUUAUCCUCCAUGAACUAAUAAUACAUACAGACUUCAAACCCUUCAAACAUUUGAUUAUUAGAUGGUUCCUAGCCCCUUCAAUAUAACUUGUAGAAUAUACUUUUCUAAACAUAUAGAUAUAAAGUUUUUCGAAAUAAUAGAACCUCAACGGGGAAAAAGAUACCCUACAUCGAGCAAAACCAUUAAAUAAAAAACGAAAAAUCUCAGAAUACAAAUACUUUAAUUACAGAGCUAAAACCCCCAUACACAAGUUACAUAAAUAACAGAGGUAGAUGGGCCAAGGAUGGACAGAUCAUAGCAGAGAAAAUUCUACAAGCAAGUUCGUGCAAAAAUAUAUUAGGGAGAGCACCUUUCAAUAUGAUUUCCAUUUCACUUGGCUCAAACAAAUAUAAUACCAUUCUCCUUAAUGGUAUCAAGAACAAUCCCAAGCUUACCUCCAAUCCGCUCACCUUUUCUGGGUUCAUAAGACAUUGCAUAUACAUCAGCAUCCUUUGAUCGCUCAGCAAUUAGCUUCCCUAUAAUUCGGCAUGCAUUGUGAUCAGUGAGAGAUGGUAGAGUGUUUCUGAGAUCCUUGGCAUUUGUGGUAGCAACUGAUAUAACUUUACUUGUUGAGCGGUGCAUCACUUUAGCAUGAACGAAUUUCUUAGAAAAGAAAACAUUAAGUAAAAAUGGCCGCAUGUACAUAUCUGUCCUCUGCUUCCAUGAUUUCCUGUUAGGUCUCUUAUCAAGUUCACCCCGAGACCUCCGCGUCCAAGCAGCUUGAAUAAAAGAAUCCUAAAAAUAUUUGGAAAUAAAGGAUCAGUUACCUUUCUUUUUUAAUCAAGAGAUGCUAGCAUUGAUUGACAACUUAUCACUGUUAAUAAAUGCCAACUAACUAGCUAGUCCAAUCUCUUGGCAUCUUGCUAUUUCUUUUCUAUUAACGCUAUAAAAGAGAAACAACAGUAAAGCAGAGGUCCACAAGGGAAUAAAAAGCAGCCAGGGUAAAAUCUAUUGGCAUCAGUACCAAAGACCUGAAAUCAAAUAUUGCCAUCACCAAGGAUUGGAAGGUCAAUGAUUGAAGAAUCCCAAGCCAUGGGGGUUUUCCAUGUCUACAAACUCAAUAAUACAUUUUAAUUGUUUCUGGAGAAUUUCCAAGCAAAUUAUAUCUUGAACAGAUCUAUCUGAAAUCAGGACAACUGAAAUUUGUAGUUGGCAAAAGUUUGAGCACUAAUGCAAAUUGCAAUCACAGAUAAGUUCUCUAUCAACAAAUAACAAUAAAUCACAAGAAAAGAAGUCCUCACAUCAAGCUAAACUUAAAGGGAUGACCAAAUGAAACUUCAAGGGUGAUAAUUAUUUAUGUCAGAGUGCAUAAUUAAAUCUUCCAAGAGAAAAUGACUAGACUAUUAAGCCUUAUGCAUGGAUAUAGAAAGUUCCGAGUUCCCUUACUGCAGGCAAAUAAUGAAUGCUGUGUGCAAGGAAUUCAAAGGACCACAUCAGACUCUCUAAAGAUCCAAUUCAAGUGCCUAUGCUCUAUGUUUCAAUCCCACAAUAAAACAGCUGAUGCUUAAUGUCAUAAUUACAAAAAAUAAAUAAAUAAGUAAAAAUAAAAUUAAAAAUGAAAUAUGAAAAAUGAAAAAUGAAAAAAGGGUGUUUGCAAAUUCUUAACAGUCCAGGAGGAGGUGGUUUCUCAGCAUAAUGGAAAUAGAAAAGAGCAACCAUUUAUGACAUUUUAAAACAAGACAAGAUCAAGCUAUGUUUCAAAAUAGUAAGCCUGAGUACUUUUUCUUUUUUUUUGAAGCCUUCAGCAAUUGAAGCUUCUUGAAUGAGUUAGAUAGUUUCCCAUACGUGUCAAAGCUAGCAGAGGCCUACUCUCAAUGUCUGGGUUAUAAAAGCAAAACAUCAGGUUUUGAUGAACUCAGGGAUCCCAGAAACAACUACUUUACUCAGAGCAAAACAAGCAAAGUGGGAAGCAGAAUAGACAAAGCGGUCAGACCUGCCAAAUAGCUCACCCUCCUACCAUACCAAAAUCCAUAGAUAACUCCAAUGUAGGCACAAUAGCAAGAAUAUAGAACCUCGAUAUGAGCUUUCACAGACAUGCCUAGAGACGCUACCAUUGUCAGUUCCCCACUCUCCCAUCAAUCUAAGGCAUGUUGAUGCCUUGCAACUUUAUAAUUCUAAACCUCAAUCAUGAAAUGCAAGGAACUCUAAAUGUUACUUUGCUUGUUCAACAUAUAAUUGAUUAUGCUAUUGUUAGCCACUACCAUCAAUAAAAUAUCAAAAAAAGAAAAAAGAAAAAAAGUGAAGAAACUUGAUAUCUCCAUUCUGCUAAUGAAAUUACCCUCAGGAGCCAAGCUUGUGCAGCACAUAUUUUCUUGUCCAUGGCCACUUUGCGGCAUACCACCCAAGCCAUGAAACAUUAGUUAGGAGUAGGUUAUAAGUAUAUGGGAAGUUUAGCAAUUUCCAUUUUCUUGAAACUUCACAAUGUAAUGGCUCAAGCUUUUGGUUUAAAAAUGACUUGCAAGCCUCUUUAGUUACUGACCUAUUCAACCCAUAUUAGCUAAUUUCACGUAAACUACUGACUAUGAAGAUAUUUAACUUCGCAACUAAAGACAAUAAAGAAAUCUAAAAUAUUGAUAUUGAAAAAAUUUAAUUAAUUCCCCCAUCAUAUUUAAAUGCUUAAAUAGUACAAAUUUUAAUAACAACUUGAUUUUUCAAUUCAGUCAAUAAUAUUAACCACGAAAUUAUACUCAAUUAUGCAUUUUUCAAAGCAACAAAUAAGGAGGGAUUAAGUUGACAUUCCCAUUUCUAGCUAAUCAAAGUAGCAUAAGUUUCUAUCAAAAUGUUAUCUUUCUUUUAUUUUUCCUGGAAUCCAAAACAGAAGAUAUUAAAGGGGUAAGAAAAAGUGCGGACCUUUCUGUUAGUGGGAGUUGGAGGGCGAGUGAUUGAGCUGAUGGAGAUGCUGAUAGCGGGAAAUGAAGAGGCCCAUGAUAGAGAAGUGAGUUUAUCCGAACGAGUUGAGCGAAUCAAGCGUGUUGACUCAGGGGAGAUGUGUGAAGAAGAAGAUGAUAUGAUGCAGGCCGCCAUUAGUUUUGGGCUUCUCUAGCGGCAAGCGUCUCCACCUCUUCAGGCUUGUACGUUUGGAUGAGCGUUUUGUUUUGUUUUUCAUGUUUUAAUUUUUUUUAAAAAUCAUUAAAAAAUUAAAAUUGUUCUUUCUAAUUACCUAAAAGAUUAAAAAAAUAGUUAUUUAUAUUUAUUUAAUUAAGAAUUGAUUUUAGCGUACAAUGUUGGUUGUGAAAAAAAAAACUUUUUUAUACAUUUGCCAAAGACAUUAUCUUUUUUAUCACUCAAGCCGAUUCUAAUUUAUAAAUCAGUUUAUCUUUAUAUUUAUUUUUACGUACAUAAACAUAUGUAAUAAAUUCAAUCAUCUCUUGAAAUAUAAAUUGAUUAUUUUUUAAAAAUUAUUUAUGAAUGCUUAUAAUAAAUAUCUCUUAUUUAUUAUUUUGGUAUUAGUUUUUUUUUAAUAAUGUUGUUGUCGUUGAUGUUUUUUUCUUUCCUUUUUUUGGUUAUUAUUAUCAUUAUUAUUUACAAUAAAAGAGUAAACACAUUUCGCAUCGGUCCUCACCUCAUUACGAUUUAUGGGCCUCGAACAAUAACCAUUAUUUUUUUAAAAGGCCCAGAUAGGUCCUCUCCUUUUGUGUCCAUCGCAAUUCAAUUUCAACAUCACAACCACGAGAGACCAGUUAAGCGAUUGAAAAGUAAAAGGAAAAGGAAACCAAAUAGACUCCCACUUUUAUCAAAAAAUGGUCGCUUUAAGCCCGUUGUCUCGACUCUCGUGGUCUUCCACUUAGAAUUUCCUUUUUCUUUAUAAACUACGUAAAUUUCACACAAGUCUCCCAUAUUUCGUUUAAAUACAAUGGAGCCUUAAAUGAUUCAAAUUUCAUCACCCCAUCUUAUAUGUAAUAAGCUAAUCACAUAAAUCCAACGAUAUUUUUUUUAAAAAUAUUUGAAAACUUAUUGCUUGCUAAGUUUCUUUCAAUUGUUAAUUUCUAUGGUUGAAAAAUGAAAAUGUCAUGAUCAUAACGGGAAAUAUAUUUUGUGAAAAACAACAUUUUAUACAUGUGAAAAAAUAAGAAAAAUUAUUAUAAUCUUUUCUUUUUAAAAAAAAAUCUCAUAUCUAUUCAAAAAAAGUGUCGCAUAGUAUCAAGAUAUGGAUUAUAAUCGUAUUUACUUAUAACCAAAAAGGAAUUUAAGUGACACUUUUAAAAACUUAUGUAAUGUUUGAAGCUCGUAUGUAAUUAAGAGAAAUAGAAUAUACCUCAAUGAAAUUUGGUUUUUCCAAAAGUUUUCAACAUCCGUGCGGUUGGUAAACGAGUGUGUGUCCGUCCCACUAACAAAGCUGGCGCUUUAAUUCUCCAACAAUCGAAAUCCUUUUCUCUUCCUCUUCAGUUGCACAUUCCAUAUUCACUCCCACUCAGUCAGACUCACUUACUUCAAGCUGGCAACAGAAACUGUCACGCGCCUCGGAUCAGAAGUCACGUGCUGCAGUUAAUUCCUUCAACCUCAAAAUCAGAAAAUUAAAAAUCACUCUUUCCGUUCAAUGUACUUCAAACACAAAUAAAAUUUCAUUCAAUUCUUCUUCAGAUCCUCACCAUUCCCUAGGGUUUCGUAAUUUGUAACUUUUAAUUAUCUGUAAUUCAUUUCGGUUCCUUCACUUACUUACUUGCAUCAUGCACGGACUAAGCCGCCUCGGCUCCGCCCGCUCCACCACGUCAUCUCCGCCGUCCUCCCCCCGCUUCCGCCACGGCCGUAACAAGAACAUAGCCGGAAGUCGUGUCGGCAGUGGAGGAGGAAAGCAGAAUUUAGUUGAGAAACUGGUAGUCGUUUUGAUAUCGGCCGUGUUUAAACGCAAAGGCGUGCUGUUAGUGGCGCCGUUGUUGUACAUAUCAGUAAUGUUACUGUACAUGAGCUCGUUCGGCUUCGAUGUUGUGGAUUUGAAGAGUGUUGUUGUUGUGCGUGAGCGUGCGCCGCCUGGCUCCGUGUACAGAAGUCCUCAGGUUUUUCAAAAGCUUUGGCCGUUUAUGCAAGCGGAAGCUAUUGCUAACAAUACGGUACAGUUAUAAGCUUCAUGCAAUUUUUUUUUCCUUUUUUUCAUUGUUAUUUAUUUUCCUUAAGUUCAUUUCUUGCAUGUUAAUGUACAGCUGAAGUAGAUUUGACUGAAAUUAAAAAUGCUCAAAUCAAAAUCAUGCAGUUGAUGACAGCGUGGAAUUCGAAAGUGCACCAACCCUGGAAGCCUUGCGCCGACAGGAGUAAUUCGAAUGCAGGUUCAAAAUUUUAUCUGUUUUUCAAUGUCGUUUCUUCACCGCCGCCCCUGCUGUNNNNNNNNNNNNNNNNNNNNNNNNNNNNNNNNNNNNNNNNNNNNNNNNNNNNNNNNNNNNNNNNNNNNNNNNNNNNNNNNNNNNNNNNNNNNNNNNNNNNNNNNNNNNNNNNNNNNNNNNNNNNNNNNNNNNNNNNNNNNNNNNNNNNNNNNNNNNNNNNNNNNNNNNNNNNNNNNNNNNNNNNNNNNNNNNNNNNNNNNNNNNNNNNNNNNNNNNNNNNNNNNNNNNNNNNNNNNNNNNNNNNNNNNNNNNNNNNNNNNNNNNNNNNNNNNNNNNNNNNNNNNNNNNNNNNNNNNNNNNNNNNNNNNNNNNNNNNNNNNNNNNNNNNNNNNNNNNNNNNNNNNNNNNNNNNNNNNNNNNNNNNNNNNNNNNNNNNNNNNNNNNNNNNNNNNNNNNNNNNNNNNNNNNNNNNNNNNNNNNNNNNNNNNNNNNNNNNNNNNNNNNNNNNNNNNNNNNNNNNNNNNNNNNNNNNNNNNNNNNNNNNNNNNNNNNNNNNNNNNNCCCCCCCCCAAAUCGUCGAAACAAUAGUAUAGGAGUACUAGUAUUACCUUAUGCUUGAGAGGCUGCAAGAAGCUAACUGCUGUUUUAUGUUUUGAGAUUCUCAGAAUUGCCAAAAUCAAAUGGUUUCCUUAUAAUUGAAGCUAAUGGUGGGUUGAACCAGCAACGCUUGUCGGUAUGUUUCGGCUCUAGCAUAAAAAUUGUUCUCUUGAUUCUAUCAGUUGUAAGGAAAUUGCAGCAUGUUCUUAUAUGCAUGCUACCAAAAUUAUGUAUUAGAGAAUGUAGUUGCAUAUGGUUUGAUUUGUUACAAUGUGGUUCUCGCCAUUCACUAGAAUAUGAUCAAGAUGCAUGGGAUGGUGUAUUAGAUAAUAUACUUAAUAUUGUCCUAGAUGGACAUUUUGGGGCUUAUUUUUGGAACUUUGAGAUUUGACUUCAUCUUUUUCUGGUUGUUCCUUAUGGAUUGUCAGAAUAAGGCAUCCGUCAUCUAGAUUCAUUUAUUACAGUAGGCAUAUCCUUCGAAACUAGCAUUUACCAAUUAAUUGUUGCAUGAAGAAUGGGAAUGAUUGGAUUUUGGAUGCGUCUUGAAAUGACUGCUAAACUAUUUUUGCUAAGAUUUUCUUACUGCACUCGUCCCUAUUGCUUUCCUCUUUCCUCUUUCUCUUGGUAAAAUUAUUUGGGUUUUGAUGUUGAAUAAGUUAUAGCUAUAAGACACUUCAUUUUGUGUUGCAUGAGCGUGGUUGUUUAUUACUAACUUUCCAUAAGAAAAUAUCCAUUAAUUGAUCUAAAUAUUAAAUUUACACUUGGUGCAUAUUGUUACAUUUUAAAUAUACAUUGCGAACUAUAGGCUUGGUGUAUAUUGUUACGUUUUAAAAAUAUAUUGCUAGUUAUGGGAAUGUUGUUGCAAUAAUAGGGCCAGAUACGGCCUGCCAAUGAUACAAACUCAACAUUGUAUGCCUUGAUAAUAGGGGUGUCAACCUUUAAAUUACAUCUUUGGUGUGUAACUUUUCUCUGUUUUAUUUAUUUGUUUAUUUACAGAUAUGUGAUGCGGUAGCAGUGGCAGGACUACUGAAUGCAACGCUUGUCAUUCCAAUUUUUCAUUUAAAUAGUGUAUGGCGAGAUUCCAGGUGAUUAUUGAUACUGUUAUUCUAAGACCUUAAGUCCUUAACCUCUUUUGUAUCUCAUUCUUUCCUCAGAAAAAUAUAAUUCUUAGUUUCUUCUCAAACGUUGUUUUUUCAAACUACAAAAAGAUGAGGGCCAAAAUGAUGCUUUAGUCUUUUGAAAAGAUGGAGCAGUUAUGGAGCAGUGCUUGUCCUCUUAAUGUAAAAAAUAUCACUUAUUUUAUCUCAUAAUUUACUCCUUUAAGCCAUAUUUCUUAAACACAUAUAUAUUUAAUUUUUUUCCUUUGAAUUGCAAGAUUUUUUAGUUUGACUUUAUUCCUUACAUUUUUCCUUUUUCUGAACAAUUUGAAAUUUUUGCAGCAAUUUUGGGGAUAUAUUUGAUGAAGAUUUUUUCAUGCAUGCACUUAGAAGUAAUGUGAAUGUUGUCAAGGAACUCCCAGAGGAUAUACUUCAACAGUUUGACCACAAUAUAAGCAGCAUCGUGAAUUUGAGAGUAAAAGGAUGGUCCAGCCCAACCCAUUAUCUGCAAAAGGUCCUGCCAAAGCUGCAGCAUCUGGGGUAUGCAUUCUUAACUCCAAAUGUUUUAAAUUGAUCAAUACUCUCCAAGAAGAAGCUAAAUUAUUGGGGAUUUUUCUUUGAACAUCCCUUAUUGCAAUGACAAUAUCAUUUCCCUACCAAAUCAAUUUAAAUUGCAUGUUUAUAUUUGAGAAGCCAAAUAUUGGAUUGUUAUUAUCAUUUAACAUUUAUUGGAAAAAGAAAAAUGUUUAGGGUCAUUUUUAGCACCAUGAAUCGUCUGAUUGCUGAUUUCAAAUAGAUCAUUAUGGUAAGCUCUGCCAUGCUAUAGAGUUUUUGGAAUUGUUAGUCAUAUAUAUGGCCCUUUAUUGUUUACAGUGGUUACAACACAAAGUUGUUAACCAUGGAUCAAAAAUUUGUUGACAGUUGGAAUUGUGUGCGUAAAAUUCAAUCUUCAAUCCACUUGCAAUAAUUUGGGGUUGAACCUUAUUUCUAAAUAGUUUUGUUAAUGGAAGUUUAUCUCAUUUCUUUUCAACAAACAUACAAAUCCAAAGCUUAUAGCCUCAUUUCAUGAUGCAGGGCUGUGCGAAUUGCACCUUUCUCCAACAGACUGGCUCAGGGUGUUCCUUCAAAUAUUCAGGGACUUAGAUGCUUAGCCAAUUUUGAAGCACUUAGGUUUUCCGAACCUAUAAGAAUGCUUGCCGAGAAAAUGGUUGAUCGAAUGGUUAAGAAUAGCUCUCAGAGUGGUGGAAAAUAUGUUUCAGUUCAUCUUCGAUUUGAAACGGUACUAUACCUUUUCGAUUUGCUACCAUGGAAAGAUUGUGGGUUAUUUUAUUUCCUCCUAUUGCUGUAUCCUUUAUCAUUUCUGAGUGUCAGUUUCCUUUUCUCUCAAGGAUAUGGUUGCAUUUUCUUGCUGUGAAUAUGAUGGUGGGGAGGAAGAGAAACGUGAAAUGGAUAUUGCUCGAGAAAGAAGUUGGAGGGGGAAAUUCAGGAAAAGAGGACGAGUAAUAAGACCGGGUGCAAAUCGUGUGGAUGGAAAAUGUCCUUUAACGCCAUUGGAGGUGCUAAACUGCAUUGAACUCUCUGCCCUUCCAUCUAUCAAUCUACUUUUUAACAAAUUUAUUUUGAUUUGGUUUCUUGUAAAAUAUGAAUAUCUACUUCUGAAACUAUGUUUCGUCUUAUUAAAGAACAAAUUCCUCAAAUGUUGUGCAAACACAUUGCAGUUCCUUGUUAUAAUAACUGGAUAAAUUAAAUGUUUAAUAAAAUCAAAAUGCUUGGAUUCUUUUGAAUGCUCCGUCUUCACGGUGUUUGGUUCUCCAGGUAGGAAUGAUGCUUAGGGGCAUGGGUUUUGAUAACACCACCUCAGUAUAUGUUGCAGCAGGUAAGAUUUAUAAAGCUGAAAAGUACGUGGCACCACUUAGGCAGAUGUUUCCACGCUUAGAAACAAAGGACACUCUAGCUACUCCAGAAGAACUUGCUGCAUUUAAGGUAUCAUAUUGCCAUAUUGGUGGUCUGUGAUCUUUAAAUUGAUUUAAAGAAUAAAAAUAACAAUGCUAGGAACUUCUCGUUUGUAAUACUCGAAGGUUCUUAUAUGUAGGGCCACUCGUCUAGAUUGGCUGCUCUUGACUAUACAGUUUGCCUUCACAGUGAAGUAUUUGUCACAACACAAGGUGGAAAUUUUCCCCACUUCUUAAUGGGUCAUAGGCGCUACUUAUAUGGAGGACAUGCGAAGACAAUUAAGCCUGAUAAGAGAAAAUUAGCUCUGUUAUUUGAUAGGCCAAAUAUCAGGUACAUUGCUAUUCAACUCCUGCAAUUUUAAAUUUUCACUUCUGAGUCAUUCGCGACACUGCUUGAUUUGAGCAAGGGAGAAAUCUUGUUUGCAAAAAGAUUGUGCUAAAAAACUCAUCAAAAUUUCAUUUUGGUGCUUGCCAAUGCCAAUCUUACAGCUGAUCUUUCUCAUUCCAUAUUUGUAACAUGGGGUAGGACCAAUUGUUGAACCAUUGGAUCAAUGUGCAAACGGUUGAGAUUAAAUCUGACACAUCUAAUUAAUGCAUAGUAAUGCACCUUAUUUUACGUACACUUGAGAUUUAAUUCAACCAGUGUAAAAUGUUUUGUCUCCUUGAUCCAAACCUUAUGUAUGUGGAUCUAGUAGCUUUUCGUGACAGCAAUUUUGUAGUUUAAUGAUAUUUUUUAUCUACAUCUGGCCAGAUGGGAUGAUUUCAAGCGACAAAUGAAAGAUAUGCUUUCUCACAGUGAUGUGAAGGGAAGUGAGUUAAGGAAACCGAGUGCAUCGCUUUACACAUUUCCCAUGCCAGAUUGCAUGUGUAAACAACCAGAAGCUUCAAAUGAACACGGUAACACUAAGAAACUAACUUCAUAAUACGGAUAUUGAUUAAAGAAAUUGUCACUAGGGUUAGAAAUUUUUAUUUAUCUGUAACUUAUGAAGCAUGAUUCAACUAAACUCUAAUUAAAUUCUUUUGUUGUAGUGAUGGGAGUGAAAUUAGGUUAUAAUUCUUUGAAAUUGAUUGACUAAGCUACAAUUUGUAGUUUGCCACUCGAAAUUCAUUGUAUAUGAUUCAAUUGAUGUGAGUAAAAUUUUAUUUGGACUGUGUAUUCUAUGAUACAUCUUGUUCUUAGUGGCUUAUGACCAUCAACGACCACAUCGAUAGAAAGUCGAAAACUAUGGGGAGUGGAGAUAAUUCAGUAGAUUGGACCUUUUUUUUUUCAUUGUGCGGUGUUCCUUAUCCGAAGUUCCAUUUGCCAUUUGUGUUUUGAAAGAAUAUAAAAUCAUGGGUGCAAUUUUGUCCAUUGAGUACACAUUGACAAUGAUGCCCUUGAAAUAGAGCACCAGUUUUAAGUAGCUCAUGCCUUUGGUGAGGACGGAUGGGGAAAACUAUGCCCCCAGGAAUUUCCUUAAUUGAUAAAUCUAAUGAAAGAUCAACUUGCAUAAGAGUGGGUUAUUUGCAAAUUGCAAGGGUAGAAGGCGUUUGCGAUUCUGAAGAAUGCUUUCUACUUUUGGAAAUGAAAAUCCACCUAAAUAAUAUUGUCUGUAAUAUUUUGUAAAACUUGUUUUUCAGAAUAGAAAACUGUUAAACAUGUUCACAAAUAAUUAUAACAUGGAAACUGAAAUCAAGAGAGAUUGGUUCUCUAUGGGACGGCAUGUUUGGGAAAAAGAAGGAACGUGUACACAAAUUUCGUUCAAUUUUUUGAGUUGUCAUACUUGAUUUUCCAAAAAUCAUUCAGAGCCAAAUAUUAGUAGCUCAAAUUUCGUGUACAAGUUGAUGUGUGAUCAAGUAUUAUUGAAUAAAAAAUAACAUGAAGAGUAACUUCUACCACAAAAAUAUGUGAUAAAUUGUUAUAGCAUAAGAAAAAUCAAGAAGAUUAUUUUCCAAUUUCAAACAUUAUCUCUAUUCAACAUAUGGACAAAAGAGAGCCCAAAAGAGAGAGUCGGGGAAAAAAAAAAAAGACAAAAUAAAGCCCAAAAAUGUGACGUAAAAUCAAGAAUACAACAGAUGUAUUCUAGAAUUUAUGCACCAGUAGAUAGAUGGAAGAAGCUACCAACCUACCCAAAUCAAUAUUCAAUGAUUCAAUCUAUCUCUCUCUCUUCUCCCUCCUAAUCUCAAAUCAAACCACCUGUGAAAUGUAUGUAUGCGUGUAUACAUGUAUAAUUUAAUGUCUACCAACUUGGUCAAAAUCUCAUAACGAUCGAGUCUCUUGCCUUCUCUCUCUCUCUCUCUCUCUCUCUCUCUCUUCAGAUAAAUGACAAGUCCCCAUCUCUCGUGUUAAAAAAACUCUUUUACAAAACGAACCGAACCCAUCUCUCUUUUUCUUCAUUUCAUGUUGAGAAAAAUUUAAAACAAAACUCAACUCUUCAUCGUCAUCAUAAACAAGAACAUGGGACGUUCGCCUUGCUGUGAAAAGGCUCAUACAAACAAAGGAGCUUGGACCAAAGAGGAAGACCAAAGGCUUAUCGAUUACAUUCGUGCUCAUGGCGAAGGCUGCUGGCGCUCUCUCCCCAAAGCUGCCGGUACAUUUUUUUUAGUAUAUUUUUUUCCUUUCAUUUUCUUCUUCUUAGUUCGGAAAAAAAAAAAAGAGAUUUUGAAUAUUGUUAAUAUAUGUGUGUGUUUUAAUAAAUUUCUCAGGAUUGCUAAGAUGCGGCAAGAGUUGUAGAUUGAGAUGGAUAAACUAUCUACGCCCUGAUCUUAAGCGUGGGAAUUUUACCGAUGAAGAAGAUGAACUCAUUAUCAAACUUCAUAGUUUGCUUGGAAACAAGUAAUUAAUUAAACUUUUUCUCUCUUUUUGUUAUUAUAAUUUUUAUUUGUUUAGGGGUAGGUUAAUUUUAAUUAUUAGAUCUAAGAAAAACUCUUUUUUUUUUUUUUCCUUUUUCCUGAGUGGGGGGUGUUUUGAAUUUGUGUAAUGUGCAGGUGGUCGUUGAUAGCUGGAAGAUUACCAGGCAGAACAGAUAAUGAAAUAAAGAAUUAUUGGAAUACACACAUCAAGCGGAAGCUACUUAACCGGGGCCUUGACCCUCAAACUCACCGGCCCCUCAACCAAAUUCAUAACCAUAAUAAUUUCAACAAAUACGCCAUUAAUAAUAAUGAAGGAAUAAUUCAACCCAAGAAUUUGAUCAAGCCCAAGUCAGAAUCAUCUUUCGACGAUGAUAACAACACCUCCACCACCAACAACAACAACUGCAGCACCAGUGGCAUGACCGCUGAUGAAGAGCCGCCAAAAAAUGUACAGCUACAUCAACAAGAGCAAAAGCAAAUGCAUAGCAGCACCCAUUAUCAAGAAAAUCUCAACUUGGAGCUAUCCAUUGGACUUGCGCCUCCUAAUUCUGCCCACUCAAGACCACUGCAGCAACGAAAACAGCCGCAGCAGCAGAAGCAGGUUGUUGACUACGACAAGUUUUUUGAAGUGAAGCAAGCGGUUUGUUUGUGUUGGCAGCUGGGGUUUGGGAGAAGUGAACUGUGUAAGAAUUGUACUCAAAAUUCUAAUGGGUUUCGCAGAUAUAUUACAGGCCUUUAGGUUAGAUUCAUGUUUUUUUUUUUUUUCCCUUUUUUUCUCUCUAGGGUGGAUGGGUUUUAAAUAACUUAAAAUGUAUCAAUUAAUUGAUGGGCUAGCUCCAACAUUUGAUUACCUGCCGAUGCAAAAUCCAGGUAAUUUCACAAGACAAUGUGUGUACAUGUAUGCCGUUGCUGAGCCUGAGCUGACAUUUUAGAAAAUUUGCAUAAUUAUUACUCCUUGAAAAGUAUCGAGUGGGUAGGUAGGUAAUUAUAGAUUUGGUUGGACCUUCCACCUUGUCUUUUGCUUUGUACUAUCUGGCGAGUGCAUUGGGAACAACACUUAUCUUCUUUUUUCUCUUUUUUCUUUUUAAAGGAACAGCUAUCUUCUUUUGUUUUUCUUUAAACGACAGUGUUUUAGUCAGUAGUUCCUUUUUUUUUUUUUUUUUUAUGACAUGAGACUAUUGCUCAAAUUAUAACUUAUAUUACAUGAGAGUAUAACUGAUAUGUACAAUUAUAUAUAUAUACUGAGAUCUAUUAACAUUAAUGCUGAUAUGGCACUGUUCAGAUUUUUGUAACCCUCUCAAAUAUUCGAGGGACGUCAAACUCCCAUCCUGGGACAAAGACUGCCUUCACUCAAGCUCUAUGACUCCAAGGAAGGAAAUAUAAAUGAAACUCCUACAAUGCGACUGCGGAGGCUCGAACUCAUUCCCUCACAUAUGUGAGGGAGUGGCUCUAGCCACUUGGGCUAGCCCAAGUGGUUGUCAGUGGUUCCUUCUUAAUAACAGAGAACAAAGACCCGUCAUUAAGAUAUGAUUUGAUUUUGAUGUGAGGUAGUUAUACUUUAAAAGACGUAACAUUAAAGUAUUUAAUAAAUAUUAAUUAUUUUGAUAUUAAAAUUAUGUCGAUUUUUUUUCAUAGUAUAUUUAGAAUUUAAAAGUUGAAAGUUAUGUCAAUUUUCCUUCUUCUGCAUAAUAACUAUAAGUUAAAAGUGGUGACACUUUUAAAGACGCUUAAUUUCCUUCACUUACGCCACUAAUUUUAUGAGGAAAGAGAGUAAGUAGUAUACUGACAACUUUGUUUUGUUCUCGAGAACAUGAUGAUUAUGCAUUCAUUAAUCAUUAUUCAGAAACCAAAUAGCGCUUUCCCAUAAUAAUGUUUGAAGAGUUAGUAAGCAGUAACAAUAACACUAAAAAUAAAAUUAGUAAACAUAAGAUAUGACACCAGGGACGAGGGACUAUCUAUAUCUGUUGUCAUUCCCACAUAUAAUAUUGGCUGAGUCUAUAAUUUUUUGACAUAAGUAUAUACCAAAUGAAUAUGGAAAUAUUUUAAAUGAGUAAUACAUUAUGCUAGCUAGAUAUACAAAAUUAGGAUGCCAAUUGCCAAACAAAGAAAAUGAUUAAUAAUAUAAAACAGCAAGAACAUGGAUGGAUUCUCUAACCAAAACCUAUACCUAAUUUCUUGCUAAAUAUGAUACUAGAGACAUUUGCUUUCAAAAUAAUCAAACCUAACAUUCCAAAUGCUAUUAGUAUAUUGAGUACGAUCACAUGUAAUGUUGUAUCAUCACGCUAUCAUUUGAUACUCAUGUUCUAUUCUAUCUAUGGGCCAAUAAUAAUAAAAAAAAUCUUAGUAAAGAAGAAAUUGUUAUUAGGUUUCCAUUAAUUAAAAAAUUGAUGGUCACAUGUUUGGUAUCGCAUGAUGAUGAUAGGUUCUCCCAGGAAUGACGGAUCCCCUUCUACCUAAAAGCACCCAACUCUACUAAUUAGUAUUUUGACAAUUCUCUUCUAAUAAAUUGAUUCAGCUUCUAAGGAUACCACGCCAUAUAACCUCUUUAAUAUUUACCUCUAAAUAGUCUAGUAAUUUCGAAAUAUUUGUAUUUCCCUAACUUAAUUACACCUCUUUCUUUCUU
Molecule: long non-coding RNA, 41603 nt
Filed under: Citrus sinensis (sweet orange)
Lineage: Eukaryota; Viridiplantae; Streptophyta; Magnoliopsida; Sapindales; Rutaceae
Description: long non-coding RNA (CSIN_LNC001507)
Source: RNAcentral